CCCGUACGCCACAAGUGGGCUGAACUACGUGUCGACUAUUCAUUGGCGGAGGGGAAAUCCACAGAUGGGAUUUCUCAGAUGACGAUCCUUCCGUCGCCGUUUGGUUUAGAGAGAAGGGCUUUUAUGGAAUCGCCGGUGAGGGGAGAAGCGGGGGGUAAGGUAAAUAUGACGUUGGCAGGAGAUAUGCCACGUCUCCGCCACCUACAGGGCGAAUUAGCGGCAAGCACAGAGCACCCACGUCUCCGCCGUCGAGAGGGUGAAUCAGCGGCAAAGCGUCCUGCACAAUUAGGCGGAGAUGAUCAAAACGUUUCAAAUCGAUUUCACUGAAGAACGGGUUUGAAGGUGGAGUACAUCGUGUGGAUUUGAACGGGUUUGUGCACGUUUUCGGAUACGAAUGCGGCGUUUUUGCUUAGGAGUUGAAAUCGAUGAAUUUAUGAAUGGAUCGAGGCUAGAAACCGCAUGCAAACCAGAUUCUGCGCAUUCCCUACUGAGGAUGGAAUCGAAAGCAGUCAUAUAUGCAUCCAAGGAUUCAAUUGCAGUGAUGUCAUUUUUAAUCUAUCGUCAGGUUGUGUCUUAAGGCGAAGGCAUCUUGGCUUGAAG
Fragaria vesca subsp. vesca is the source of this 600-nucleotide RNA transcript. RefSeq lists it as uncharacterized. The transcript has 2 exons. The record is from RefSeq and is a predicted model, not a curated record. Lineage: Eukaryota; Viridiplantae; Streptophyta; Magnoliopsida; Rosales; Rosaceae.